AGUACCUACACUGACGACAACUCCAAAGAAGACCAAGAUGUCAAAUCUUCUGCCUAUCAACCCAGCUUCUGAUUGGAAGAAAGUGAGUGUUGCCCUUUCAGUUGGAAUUGGAGUAACGCUUUCCCUAGGAAUUCUUGCGCUGAUUCUUGUUGUAACCAUGCGGAGAUGUCGUCGUUCAAAGAGACAAACAGAUAACGGAGGAGGUGUACAGAACACGCUUUCUCCUGCUAGCACGUUAUCUAUAGAAACGCCUUCUCAGUACGUAUACGACAACGUCGUGAAUCCGUUCUCACCUGAACCCUUUCGACAGAGUAGCCGCGCAGACUCGGGGAAUUCGCAUGGAAUGAUUACGUCACUGGUUCAUCGACCACCACUGCCAACACCU
Long non-coding RNA from Liolophura sinensis, 385 nucleotides. RefSeq lists it as uncharacterized. The transcript is spliced from 3 exons. NCBI's taxonomy places the organism in Eukaryota, Metazoa, Mollusca, Polyplacophora, Chitonida, Chitonidae. The record is from RefSeq and is a predicted model, not a curated record.